AUUGAACGCUGGCGGCAUGCUUUACACAUGCAAGUCGAACGGCAGCGGGGGCUUCGGCCUGCCGGCGAGUGGCGAACGGGUGAGUAAUGCAUCGGAACGUACCCAGUCAUGGGGGAUAACUACGCGAAAGCGUAGCUAAUACCGCAUACGCCCUGAGGGGGAAAGCGGGGGAUCGCAAGACCUCGCGUGAUUGGAGCGGCCGCUGUCGGAUUAGCUAGUUGGUGGGGUAAAGGCCUACCAAGGCGACGAUCCGUAGCGGGUCUGAGAGGAUGAUCCGCCACACUGGGACUGAGACACGGCCCAGACUCCUACGGGAGGCAGCAGUGGGGAAUAUUGGACAAUGGGCGAAAGCCUGAUCCAGCAAUGCCGCGUGUGUGAAGAAGGUCUUCGGAUCGUAAAGCACUUUCGACAGGGACGAUGAUGACGGUACCUGUAGAAGAAGCCCCGGCUAAACUUCGUGCCAGCAGCCGCGGUAAU
Molecule: ribosomal RNA, 477 nt
Filed under: uncultured bacterium
Lineage: Bacteria
Description: bacterial SSU rRNA
Rfam family: Bacterial small subunit ribosomal RNA
Source: RNAcentral